Molecule: unclassified non-coding RNA, 380 nt
Filed under: uncultured Rickettsiales bacterium
Lineage: Bacteria; Pseudomonadati; Pseudomonadota; Alphaproteobacteria; Rickettsiales
Description: contains 16S-23S intergenic spacer region
Source: RNAcentral
UCCGGCUUAUCACCGGCAGUUUCCUCAGAGUUCUCAGCAUUACCUGUUAGCAACAGAGGAUGAGGGUUGCGCUCGUUGCGGGACUUAACCCAACAUCUCACGACACGAGCUGACGACAGCCAUGCAGCACCUGUGCUCCUCCCACCCGAAGUGAAGGGUCCCGUUUCCGGAACCCAUAGAGGGCAUGUCAAGGCCUGGUAAGGUUCUUCGCGUUGCCUCGAAUUAAACCACAUGUUCCACCGCUUGUGCGGGUCCCCGUCAAUUCCUUUAAGUUUCAGCCUUGCGGCCGUACUCCCCAGGCGGAGUGCUUAGCGCGUUAACUACGCCACCGAGGGUUAAACCCCCGACGGCUAGCACUCAUCGUUUAGGGCGUGGACUAC